RNAcentral lists this non-coding RNA (29 nucleotides) under Homo sapiens (human). The record is from RNAcentral. Lineage: Eukaryota; Metazoa; Chordata; Mammalia; Primates; Hominidae.
GAAAACAAUCUGGUGUCACAGGCCAUGGG